AAUUUCUUUGUAUAUCUCAAACUGCAAAUCCAAUAAUCAGCCAGAAAAAAAAUCAUCUAUAGGGAAACACAUAUCAUAAAACCAAUUCAUUUUCCAGUAAAUGACUAAAUAUUCAUUACAAGAAGCAAUAUUUGUAAUAGUAGAAUAGCUAGUAAAAAUAAACAACAAACCAUUGGCAAGGCCAUCUAUUUUCAGUUAUACAGAUUACGUAUACAAACCAAGUCUUUCUUAUUCUUCUAGUCUCACAAUUGGAAGUUCCUUGUGUGAAAAAAUAAAAAGUUAAAAUUCUACUUUACAUACCUGAUCAGAA
RNAcentral lists this unclassified non-coding RNA (310 nucleotides) under Hevea brasiliensis (rubber tree). The record is from RNAcentral. Lineage: Eukaryota; Viridiplantae; Streptophyta; Magnoliopsida; Malpighiales; Euphorbiaceae.